Molecule: ribosomal RNA, 450 nt
Filed under: uncultured bacterium
Lineage: Bacteria
Description: partial 16S ribosomal RNA
Rfam family: Bacterial small subunit ribosomal RNA
Source: RNAcentral
GUGGGGAAUAUUGCGCAAUGGGCGAAAGCCUGACGCAGCGACGCCGCGUGAGGGAUGAAGGUUUUCGGAUCGUAAACCUCUGUCAGAAGGGAAGAAACUACGUUGUGCUAAUCAGCAGCGUACUGACGGUACCUUCAAAGGAAGCACCGGCUAACUCCGUGCCAGCAGCCGCGGUAAUACGGAGGGUGCAAGCGUUAAUCGGAAUUAGUGGGCGUAAAGCGCACGUAGGCUGUAGUGUAAGUCAGGGGUGAAAUCCCACGGCUCAACCGUGGAACUGCCUUUGAUACUGCACAACUUGAAUCCGGGAGAGGGUGGCGGAAUUCCAGGUGUAGGAGUGAAAUGCGUAGAGAUCUGGAGGAAUACCGGUGGCGAAGGCGGCCCCCUGGACAAAGACUGACGCUCAGGUGCGAAAGCGUGGGGAGCAAACAGGAUUAGAAACCCGGGUAGUCC